CUCCUUGCAAGACUGCUUAAAACUAACUCGGGUAUCAUAAUUUGCAAUCCACAGUGUAGACAUAUCAAAAUGUCCUUGUUCUCAUUUCCACUGCUUGCUGCCAUAGCAACCCCUGGUCAAAAGGAAAUUUCCAUUGAUAUCAGAAGGAGCAGCAUUUCACCCAGUGCACUACCACCACAGGAUGAUGUGCUGAAAAGUGAGCCAUACCCUCCUGGGCACUAGUUCAAUCCCCUUGCCUUCACUGGAAAAGCAACAGUGCAACCUAGGGGAACUCCAUAAAACAUCUGGUUGAGAAGACAAGAGAAGGACUCUUGUUUUCUUCCCUCCUCACCUGCAUCGGGUCAAAAAGUAACAUUUUGAAAGUGUAAUUUUACAAAAAAGUUAAGGAAAUCUGAUGACUGGUUAAAAAAGCAGAUCAAUGAGGACAUGAUUUUUGCAGACAGAGCUGCAGCUUGCACAGUGACUGGAACACGACUGGCUCGGGAAAUGAACAGUAGCACAUCACUCAUUUUUCCUGCCUGUUUGCUCCUAAUUAUCUUGCAAUACAUCUCACUGGUAGUUUUAUCAUACAGAAAGACAGAAGGUCCUUCUGGUUACAGCACAUAAUGACUACUUUUAAAAUGGCUUGCUAUUAAUUCCUGGGAAAGCCUGUCUCUUUCUCCCCCUCUCAAGCUCACUGCCUCUCCUAGGGUUAUUGUUUUGUUUUUGAGGUUUUUUUGGGGGAGGUAGGAUGGCAAUUCUCUGAUAAUGUAUUGUGAUUUAAGGAAAAGAAGGGCCAGCAGAGGUGGCUUUCCCUUUCUUUUGAUGAGACUAUGGCCACACUGAAAGAAGUGUCAGCA
This 839-nucleotide long non-coding RNA is filed under the name Parus major (Great Tit). RNAcentral's name for it is "lncRNA (ENSPMJG00000010911.1)". The record is from RNAcentral. Lineage: Eukaryota; Metazoa; Chordata; Aves; Passeriformes; Paridae.